ACAUUUUAGCCAUUGGAAACCAUUUAAAUGAAAAUGCAGGAAAAGAAAAGACAAAAGGAUUUCGAUUGUCAUCUUUGACCAAAUUAUCCCUGCUGCGGGGCAAGGAGAGGACGUUCACUUUGCUUCAUGCCCUUGUGGAACAGAUCUCCUUACAUGAGCCUGAUCUGGUGAAAUUUUCACAGGAACUGACAGAAUUUGAGGCUGUUCCUGAUGCUUCCAUGAAGGGCCUCAGUGCUGAAGUUGAUGUUCUAAAAAAGGAAUUGGAAAAUGUUACUCAGUGCAGGCGUCUGAUCAAACCCAGGACAACCAAGGCAACACCCCAGGAGUCACAAUUCUGCAGAGAACUAAAGGUAACACUACCCCAACCUUAUCGUGGGCUGGAGAUAAAAGAUAAGU
RNAcentral lists this long non-coding RNA (396 nucleotides) under Chrysolophus pictus (golden pheasant). RNAcentral's name for it is "lncRNA (ENSCPIG00010008208.1)". The record is from RNAcentral. Lineage: Eukaryota; Metazoa; Chordata; Aves; Galliformes; Phasianidae.